Scophthalmus maximus (turbot) is the source of this 862-nucleotide long non-coding RNA. RefSeq lists it as uncharacterized. NCBI's taxonomy places the organism in Eukaryota, Metazoa, Chordata, Actinopteri, Pleuronectiformes, Scophthalmidae. The transcript has 4 exons. The record is from RefSeq and is a predicted model, not a curated record.
GUUUAAGUUUUAAACCCCUCCCCCCCAUUACCUCGAAACAUUCCUGAAUGACGCUUUUAACCAGGAGGCUGGUAACCAUGGCAACCACUGAAUCCUUCACGGUGACGGCGGAGGAAACUGAAGGCAGUGAUUCGAUCCAUCAGACGCUUUGUUCUGCUGAUGAUGUCAUCACCUGUCGGCCUGCAGCAGCUUCUGAACGCCGUCCGCCAGACGACACACCUGGGCCUCCACGUCUGAUUGAGCCUGCACACACACACACACACACACACACACACACACACACACACACACACACACACACACAGAGCUGUAAUACAGUAUUACUACAGUAUUGAUACAGUAUUACUGCACAGUAGUGAUAUUGUAUCAUAUUUACUUUGAUGAGCGGAGCUGCUGCCGCUAUAGCAGCGGCUGUAGCGUAGGUGGCGUCUCCCAGGCAACCAAAUGAGAGCCCCGCCUCCAUCUGGACCCCCUCUACACCCGCUGCAUGCUGGAAGCUGGACCCCGGACCAGGAGCCCCCAGAGCGGCGAGGACGAUCCCUCGACCUCCGGCGCUGAAACGUGAUGUCAGGAGGUCGUGACCUUAUAGUGAUGAUGUCAGCAGAGGCAGUGUCAGAGGUCAAAGGCGGUCGGUCGUACAACUUCCUGUCUGGACUUGUCUCUGCUGUUGGAUGCUGCCGGAGGAGAAACACGUUUUAUUCAGAUGUGUGUGUGUCUUUGUGUGUGUGUCUCUCUGUGUCUGUCUCUGUGUAUGUGUGUGUCUCUCUGUGUCUUUGUGUGUGUGUGUAUAAUUCAUGUCUUUUGGCUAAAAAUCAUUUUUUUUCCUGAAACAAAGAAAUAAAACCUCAGUUUUUCGUCUCAU